UUGCUAGGAGGCGUCGAGCGGCGGACGGGUGAGUAAUGCAUAGGAAUCUGCCCGGUAGUGGGGGAUAACUUGGGGAAACCCAAGCUAAUACCGCAUACGCCCCAAGGGGGAAAGCAGGGGAUCUUCGGACCUUGCGCUAUCGGAUGAGCCUAUGUCGGAUUAGCUUGUUGGUGAGGUAAUGGCUCACCAAGGCGACGAUCCGUAGCUGGUCUGAGAGGAUGAUCAGCCACAUCGGGACUGAGACACGGCCCGAACUCCUACGGGAGGCAGCAGUGGGGAAUAUUGGACAAUGGGCGAAAGCCUGAUCCAGCCAUGCCGCGUGUGUGAAGAAGGCUUUCGGGUUGUAAAGCACUUUCAGUGAGGAAGAAUGCCUUGGGCUUAAUACGUCCGAGGAAAGACAUCACUCACAGAAGAAGCACCGGCUAACUCCGUGCCAGCAGCCGCGGUAAUACGGAGGGUGCGAGCGUUAAUCGGAAUUACUGGGCGUAAAGCGCGCGUAGGUGGCUUGAUAAGCCGGUUGUGAAAGCCCCGGGCUCAACCUGGGAACGGCAUCCGGAACUGUCAGGCUAGAGUGCAGGAGAGGAAGGUAGAAUUCCCGGUGUAGCGGUGAAAUGCGUAGAGAUCGGGAGGAAUACCAGUGGCGAAGGCGGCCUUCUGGACUGACACUGACACUGAGGUGCGAAAGCGU
This 688-nucleotide ribosomal RNA is filed under the name Halomonas sp. GHL07. RNAcentral describes it as "bacterial SSU rRNA". It matches the Rfam family "Bacterial small subunit ribosomal RNA", at positions 78 to 762 of the family's 1533-position model. The record is from RNAcentral. Lineage: Bacteria; Pseudomonadati; Pseudomonadota; Gammaproteobacteria; Oceanospirillales; Halomonadaceae.